Long non-coding RNA from Oncorhynchus keta (chum salmon), 608 nucleotides. RefSeq lists it as uncharacterized. The transcript is spliced from 5 exons. The record is from RefSeq and is a predicted model, not a curated record. Lineage: Eukaryota; Metazoa; Chordata; Actinopteri; Salmoniformes; Salmonidae.
UUUACAUUAGGUUUGUCAGAGCUGGGUUGUUUACAUUAGGUUUGUCAGAGCUGUGUUGUUUAUAUUAGGUUUGUCAGAGCUGUGUUGUUUAUAUUAGGUUUGUCAGAGCUGUGUUGUUUACAUUAGGUUUGUCAGAGCUGUGUUGUUUACAUUAGGUUUGUCAGAGCUGGGUUGUUUACAUUAGGUUUGUCAGAGCUGGGUUGUUUAUAUUAGGUUUGUCAGAGCUGUGUUGUUUAUAUUAGGUUUGUCAGAGCUGUGUUGUUUAUAUUAGGUUUGUCAGAGCUGUGUUGUUUACAUUAGGUUUGUCAGAGCUGUGUUGUUUACAUUAGGUUUGUCAGAGCUGUGUUGUUUACAUUAGGUUUGUCAGAGCUGGGUUGUUUACAUUAGGUUUGUCAGAGCUGUGUUGUUUAUAUUAGGUUUGUCAGAGCUGGGUUGUUUACAUUAGGUUUGUCAGAGCUGUGUUGUUUACAUUAGGUUUGUCAGAGCUGUGUUGUUUACAUUAGGUUUGUCAGAGCUCAUUUUUUAAAAAUGCAUUAUAAUGUAUUUGUCACGUUCUGACCUUAGUUCCUUUGUUAAGUCUUUGUUUUAGUAUGGUCAGGGCGUGAGUU